RNAcentral lists this ribosomal RNA (497 nucleotides) under uncultured bacterium. RNAcentral describes it as "partial 16S ribosomal RNA". It matches the Rfam family "Bacterial small subunit ribosomal RNA", at positions 28 to 507 of the family's 1533-position model. The record is from RNAcentral.
GAUGAACGCUGGCGGCGUGCCUAAUACAUGCAAGUCGAGCGAACAGACGAGGAGCUUGCUCCUCUGACGUUAGCGGCGGACGGGUGAGUAACACGUGGAUAACCUACCUAUAAGACUGGGAUAACUUCGGGAAACCGGAGCUAAUACCGGAUAAUAUAUUGAACCGCAUGGUUCAAUAGUGAAAGACGGUUUUGCUGUCACUUAUAGAUGGAUCCGCGCCGCAUUAGCUAGUUGGUAAGGUAACGGCUUACCAAGGCAACGAUGCGUAGCCGACCUGAGAGGGUGAUCGGCCACACUGGAACUGAGACACGGUCCAGACUCCUACGGGAGGCAGCAGUAGGGAAUCUUCCGCAAUGGGCGAAAGCUUGACGGAGCAACGCCGCGUGAGUGAUGAAGGUCUUCGGAUCUUAAAACUCUGUUAUUAGGGAAGAACAAAUGUGUAAGUAACUAUGCACGUCUUGACGGUACCUAAUCAGAAAGCCACGGCUAACUACGUG